CAUUCUUUUAGUUUGAGAGCGGUUAGUGGCGGACUGGUGAGUAACACGUAAGCAACCUGCCUAUCAGAGGGGAAUAACAGUGAGAAAUCAUUGCUAAUACCGCAUAUGCUAACAGUAUCGCAUGAUACAGUUAGGAAAGGAGUAAUCCACUGGUAGAUGGGCUUGCGUCUGAUUAGCUAGUUGGUGGGGUAACGGCCUACCAAGGCGACGAUCAGUAGCCGGACUGAGAGGUUGAACGGCCACAUUGGGACUGAGAUACGGCCCAGACUCCUACGGGAGGCAGCAGUCGGGAAUAUUGCGCAAUGGAGGAAACUCUGACGCAGUGACGCCGCGUAUAGGAAGAAGGUUUUCGGAUUGUAAACUAUUGUCGUUAGGGAAGAUACAAGACAGUACCUAAGGAGGAAGCCCCGGCUAACUAUGUGCCAGCAGCCGCGGUAAUACAUAGGGGGCAAGCGUUAUCCGGAUUUAUUGGGUGUAAAGGGUGCGUAGACGGAGAAACAAGUUGGUUGUGAAAUCCCUCGGCUCAACUGAGGAACUGCAACCAAAACUAUUUCCCUUGAGUGUCGGAGAGGAAAGUGGAAUUCCUAGUGUAGCGGUGAAAUGCGUAGAUAUUAGGAGGAACACCAGUGGCGAAGGCGACUUUCUGGACGAUAACUGACGUUGAGGCACGAAAGUGUGGGGAGCAAACAGGAUUAGAUACCCUGGUAGUCCACACUGUAAACGAUGGAUACUAGGUGUAGGGUGUAUUAAGCACUCUGUGCCGCCGCUAACGCAU
This 775-nucleotide ribosomal RNA is filed under the name uncultured bacterium. RNAcentral describes it as "bacterial SSU rRNA". It matches the Rfam family "Bacterial small subunit ribosomal RNA", at positions 70 to 860 of the family's 1533-position model. The record is from RNAcentral.